AGAUUGAACGCUAGCGGGAUGCUUUACACAUGCAAGUCGAACGGCAGCGCGGACUUCGGUCUGGCGGCGAGUGGCGAACGGGUGAGUAAUAUAUCGGAACGUGCCCAGUAGCGGGGGAUAACUACGCGAAAGCGUGGCUAAUACCGCAUACGCCCUACGGGGGAAAGGGGGGAUCGCAAGACCUCUCACUAUUGGAGCGGCCGAUAUCAGAUUAGCUAGUUGGUGAGGUAAAGGCUCACCAAGGCGACGAUCUGUAGCUGGUUUGAGAGGACGACCAGCCACACUGGGACUGAGACACGGCCCAGACUCCUACGGGAGCAGCAGUGGGGAAUUUUGGACAAUGGGGGAAACCUGAUCCAGCCAUCCCGCGUGUGCGA
This 377-nucleotide ribosomal RNA is filed under the name uncultured soil bacterium. Its description in RNAcentral is "bacterial SSU rRNA". It matches the Rfam family "Bacterial small subunit ribosomal RNA", at positions 26 to 408 of the family's 1533-position model. The record is from RNAcentral.